CACGAAAGUGUGGGGAGCAAACAGGAUUAGAUACCCUGGUAGUCCACACCGUAAACGAUGGAUACUAGGUGUUGGCAAUGAAUAAUUGUCGGUGCCGGCGCUAACGCAAUAAGUAUCCCACCUGGGGAGUACGACCGCAAGGUUGAAACUCAAAGGAAUUGACGGGGGCCCGCACAAGCAGUGGAGUAUGUGGUUUAAUUCGAAGAUACGCGAAGAACCUUACCAAGGCUUGACAUACAGAGGAAUAAGUAGGAAACUAUUUAGCUCUUCGGAGUCUCUGUACAGGUGGUGCAUGGUUGUCGUCAGCUCGUGUCGUGAGAUGUUAGGUUAAGUCCUGCAACGAGCGCAACCCCUAUUUCUAGUUGCCAGCACAUAAUGGUGGGAACUCUAGAAAGACUGCCGGUGAUAAAUCGGAGGAAGGUGGGGACGACGUCAAAUCAUCAUGCCCUUUAUGUCUUGGGCAACACACGUACUACAAUGGCCGUUACAGAGAGAAGCAAUACAGUGAUGUGGAGCAAAACUCAAAAAGCGGUCUCAGUUCGGACUGUAGGCUGAAAUUCGCCUACACGAAGUCGGAAUUGCUAGUAAUGGCAGGUCAGAAUACUGCCGUGAAUACGUUCCCGGGCCUUGUACACACCGCCCGUCACACCAUGAGAGUUAGAAAUACCCGAAGCCUGUGAGCUAACAGUUUAAUAUUGAGGCAGCAGUCGAAGGCAGAGCUAAUGAUUGGGGUGAAGUCGUAACAAGGUAGCCGUAGGAGAACC
This 764-nucleotide ribosomal RNA is filed under the name uncultured Lachnoanaerobaculum sp. RNAcentral's name for it is "bacterial SSU rRNA". It matches the Rfam family "Bacterial small subunit ribosomal RNA", at positions 752 to 1512 of the family's 1533-position model. The record is from RNAcentral. Lineage: Bacteria; Bacillati; Bacillota; Clostridia; Lachnospirales; Lachnospiraceae.